UACGUAGGGUGCAAGCGUUGUCCGGAAUCAUUGGGCGUAAAGAGCGUGUAGGCGGCUUGGCAAGUCCGCUGUGAAAGUCCAGGGCUCAACCCUGGAAAGCCGGUGGAAACUGUCAAGCUUGAGUCCGGAAGAGGCGAGUGGAAUUCCUGGUGUAGCGGUGAAAUGCGCAGAUAUCAGGAGGAACACCAAUGGCGAAGGCAGCUCGCUGGGACGGUACUGACGCUGAGACGCGAAAGCGUGGGGAGCAAACAGG
RNAcentral lists this ribosomal RNA (253 nucleotides) under uncultured bacterium. RNAcentral describes it as "partial 16S ribosomal RNA". It matches the Rfam family "Bacterial small subunit ribosomal RNA", at positions 524 to 776 of the family's 1533-position model. The record is from RNAcentral.